This 1049-nucleotide ribosomal RNA is filed under the name uncultured Methanosaeta sp. Its description in RNAcentral is "bacterial SSU rRNA". It matches the Rfam family "Archaeal small subunit ribosomal RNA", at positions 309 to 1362 of the family's 1478-position model. The record is from RNAcentral. Lineage: Archaea; Methanobacteriati; Methanobacteriota; Methanomicrobia; Methanotrichales; Methanotrichaceae.
CGCGGGAUUGGGACGGGGUGCAGCAGGCGCGAAAACUUUACAAUGCUGGCAACAGCGAUAAGGGAACCUCGAGUGCCAGGUUACAAAUCUGGCUGUCGAGAUGCCUAAAAAGCAUUUCAUAGCAAGGGCCGGGCAAGACCGGUGCCAGCCGCCGCGGUAACACCGGCGGCUCGAGUGGUAACCGUUAUUAUUGGGUCUAAAGGGUCUGUAGCCGGCCGGAUAAGUCUCUUGAGAAAUCUGGCAGCUUAACUGUCAGGCUUUCAGGAGAUACUGUCUGGCUCGAGGCCGGGAGAGGUGAGAGGUACUUCAGGGGUAGGGGUGAAAUCUUGUAAUCCUUGAAGGACCACCAGUGGCGAAGGCGUCUCACCAGAACGGACCUGACGGCAAGGGACGAAAGCUAGGGGCACGAACCGGAUUAGAUACCCGGGUAGUCCUAGCCGUAAACGAUACUCGCUAGGUGUCGGCCACGGUGCGACCGUUGUCGGUGCCGUAGGGAAGCCGCGAAGCGAGCCACCUGGGAAGUACGGCCGCAAGGCUGAAACUUAAAGGAAUUGGCGGGGGAGCACCACAACGGGUGGAGCUUGCGGUUUAAUUGGAUUCAACGCCGGAAAUCUUACCGGGACCGACAGCAAUAUGAAGGCCAGGCUGAAGACUUUGCCGGAUUAGCUGAGAGGUGGUGCAUGGCCGUCGUCAGUUCGUACUGUGAAGCAUCCUGUUAAGUCAGGCAACGAGCGAGACCCACGCCCACAGUUGCCAGCGUACUCUCCGGAGUGACGGGUACACUGUGGGGACCGCCGCUGCUAAAGCGGAGGAAGGAAUGGGCAACGGUAGGUCAGUAUGCCCCGAAUAUCCCGGGCUACACGCGAGCUACAAUGGUUGGUACAAUGGGUAUCUACCCCGAAAGGGGACGGGAAUCUCCUAAAACCAAUCUUAGUUCGGAUUGAGGGCUGCAACUCGCCCUCAUGAAGCUGGAAUCCGUAGUAAUCGCGUUUCAACAGAACGCGGUGAAUACGUCCCUGCUCCUUGCACGAAUUCGCCGAAUCACUAGU